Molecule: ribosomal RNA, 440 nt
Filed under: uncultured bacterium
Lineage: Bacteria
Description: partial 16S ribosomal RNA
Rfam family: Bacterial small subunit ribosomal RNA
Source: RNAcentral
CCUACGGGGGGCAGCAGUGGGGAAUAUUGCACAAUGGGGGAAACCCUGAUGCAGCAACGCCGCGUGAAGGAAGACGGUUUUCUGAUUGUAAACCUCUGUCUUCGGUGACGAAACGAGACGGUAGCCGAGGAGGAAGCCACGGCUAACUCCGUGCCAGCAGCCGCGGUAAUACGUAGGUGGCAAGCUUUGUCCGGAAUUACUGGGUGUAAAGGGAGCGUAGGCGGGAAAGCAAGUUGAAUGUUUAAGGUACGGGCUCCACCUGUACAAGCGUUCAAAACUGUUUUUCUUGAGUGGAGUAGAGGUAAGCGGAAUUCCUAGUGUAGCGGUGAAAUGCGUAAAUAUUAGGAGGAACACCAGUGGCGAAGGCGGCUUACUGGGCUUUAACUGACGCUGAGGCUCGAAAGCGUGGGUAGCAAACAGGAUUAGAUACCCGUGUAGUC